Molecule: ribosomal RNA, 361 nt
Filed under: Pitho aculeata
Lineage: Eukaryota; Metazoa; Arthropoda; Malacostraca; Decapoda; Mithracidae
Description: partial 12S ribosomal RNA
Source: RNAcentral
UACUAUACUAAAUUUUUAAAUUACUCGAAUAUUAUUAGGUAUAUUCUCUAAAUUCAAAGAAUUUGGCGGUAACUUAGUCUACCCAGAGGAACCUGUUUCUUAAUCGAUAAACCACGAAUAAUCUUACUUGUUUUUAUUAAUUAUUAGUUUGUAUACCGUCAUUAUCAGAUAAUAUCUAGAAAUAAAUUAUUUGAUUUUAAAUAGUAAAGUAAAUUAGAUCAAGGUGCAGCUUAUAAAUAAGUCGGAAUGGGUUACAAUUAAUUAAAUGUAAUACGGAACGGGAAUUGAAACAAUUUCCUUAGAAGGAGGAUUUGGUUGUAAUUAAAAUUAAUAUGAGAAAAAGAUAUUAGCUCUAAGUUAU